AAACAGCAAUGGAUGCCGACGAGAGAUUAAAAGCUUUAGAAAAGGCAUAUACGGAUGUAGUCUUGAACACAGAGAAAGAAGCAGCGACGAGGAUUAUGGUGUCGGAACAGAAAGCUCAAUGUUUUCAAGAGGAGCUCCAAGUGGUGAAAGAAAAGGGGCUAAUGACGCUGAUGAAGCUCAAAGAGAUGAUGGAUUCUAAGAUUAUUGAAGCAGAGUUAACAUCGUUGAGUCAACAGAGGAAGAUUGAAGAACUUGAAUCUCAACUAGAGGAAGCAG
Molecule: unclassified non-coding RNA, 276 nt
Filed under: Hevea brasiliensis (rubber tree)
Lineage: Eukaryota; Viridiplantae; Streptophyta; Magnoliopsida; Malpighiales; Euphorbiaceae
Source: RNAcentral